RNAcentral lists this unclassified non-coding RNA (209 nucleotides) under Hevea brasiliensis (rubber tree). Lineage: Eukaryota; Viridiplantae; Streptophyta; Magnoliopsida; Malpighiales; Euphorbiaceae. The record is from RNAcentral.
GUUGUCUUUAGGUGUUCGAGGAAACUAAAGACUGUUACAUUUCCUCAGUUGGAGAACAAUUCGGCUAUGGAAUCAACUCGUGAAGUAAUAAUACCGAUGAGAAGAAUUCUUGAAAAUUUGCAUUUCUAGCAGAAGGGGCUACAUUUCCAAUCUAUUGCGCGAAACCAAGAAUCCAGUCUGCUAUGCUGAUCGUUACAUCAGAGUCAGCA